GAUGAACGCUGGCGGCGUGCUUAACACAUGCAAGUCGAACGGGAAAUAUUUCAUUGAGACUUCGGUGGAUUUGAUUUAUUUCUAGUGGCGGACGGGUGAGUAACGCGUGGGUAACCUGCCUUAUACAGGGGGAUAACAGUCAGAAAUGGCUGCUAAUACCGCAUAAGCGCACAGAGCUGCAUGGCUCAGUGUGAAAAACUCCGGUGGUAUAAGAUGGACCCGCGUUGGAUUAGCUAGUUGGUGGGGUAACGGCCCACCAAGGCGACGAUCCAUAGCCGGCCUGAUAGGGUGAACGGCCACAUUGGGACUGCGACACAGCCCAGACUCCUACGGGAGGCAGCAGUGGGGAAUAUUGCACAAUGGGGGAAACCCUGAUGCAGCGACGCCGCGUGAAGGAAGAAGUAUCUCGGUAUGUAAACUUCUAUCAGCAGGGAAGAUAGUGACGGUACCUGACUAAGAAGCCCCGGCUAACUACGUG
This 478-nucleotide ribosomal RNA is filed under the name uncultured bacterium. RNAcentral describes it as "partial 16S ribosomal RNA". It matches the Rfam family "Bacterial small subunit ribosomal RNA", at positions 28 to 507 of the family's 1533-position model. The record is from RNAcentral.